GCGGAGGCCUACACAUGCAAGUCGAGGGGUAACUAGAGUGAUAGCAAUAUUACUUUGGCUAGACCGGCGCACGGGUGCGUAACACGUAUGCAACCUACCUUAUACUGGGGAAUAACUUCGAGAAAUCGGCGCUAAUACCCCAUAACACUGCGAAGAGGCAUCUCUUUGCAUUUAAAGCUCCGGCGGUAUAAGAUGGGCAUGCGUCCAAUUAGCUAGUUGGUGAGGUAAUGGCUCACCAAGGCUACGAUUGGUAGGGGUUCUGAGAGGAUGAUCCCCCACACUGGUACUGAGACACGGACCAGACUCCUACGGGAGGCAGCAGUGAGGAAUAUUGCGCAAUGGACGAAAGUCUGACGCAGCCAUGCCGCGUGCAGGAUGACGGCCCUAUGGGUUGUAAACUGCUUUUGUAUGGGAAUAAACCCUUCUACGUGUAGAAGGCUGAAGGUACCAUAAGAAUAAGCACCGGCUAACUCCGUGCCAGCAGCCGCGGUAAUACGGAGGGUGCAAGCGUUAUCCGGAUUUAUUGGGUUUAAAGGGUCCGUAGGCGGGCCGAUAAGUCAGUGGUGAAAGCCCAUAGCUCAACUAUGGAACUGCCAUUGAUACUGUCGGUCUUGAGUAUAUGUGAUGUUGGCGGAAUGUGUAGUGUAGCGGUGAAAUGCUUAGAUAUUACACAGAACACCGAUUGCGAAGGCAGCUGACAAAUAUAUAACUGACGCUGAGGGACGAAAGUGUGGGGAUCAAACAGGAUUAGAUACCCUG
Molecule: ribosomal RNA, 759 nt
Filed under: uncultured Bacteroidota bacterium
Lineage: Bacteria; Pseudomonadati; Bacteroidota
Description: bacterial SSU rRNA
Rfam family: Bacterial small subunit ribosomal RNA
Source: RNAcentral